This 492-nucleotide ribosomal RNA is filed under the name uncultured bacterium. RNAcentral describes it as "partial 16S ribosomal RNA". It matches the Rfam family "Bacterial small subunit ribosomal RNA", at positions 29 to 507 of the family's 1533-position model. The record is from RNAcentral.
AGUGAACGCUGGCGGUAGGCCUAACACAUGCAAGUCGAACGGCAGCACAGUAAGAGCUUGCUCUUACGGGUGGCGAGUGGCGGACGGGUGAGGAAUACAUCGGAAUCUACUUUUUCGUGGGGGAUAACGUAGGGAAACUUACGCUAAUACCGCAUACGACCUACGGGUGAAAGCAGGGGAUCUUCGGACCUUGCGCGAUUGAAUGAGCCGAUGUCGGAUUAGCUAGUUGGCGGGGGAAAGGCCCACCAAGGCGACGAUCGGUAGCUGGUCUGAGAGGAUGAUCAGCCACAUGGGAACUGAGAAACGUCCCAGACACCGACGGGAGGCAGCGGUGGGGAAUAUUGGACAAUGGGCGCAAGCCUAAUCCAGCCAUACCGCGUGGGUGAAGAAGGCCUUCGGGUUGUAAAGCCCUUUUGGUGGGAAAGAAAAGCAGCAGGUUAAUACCCCGCUGUUCUGACGGUACCCAAAGAAUAAGCACCGGCUAACUUCGUG